GGUGAACCUGAGGUUCCUCCAACAACAGUCCUCUUAUUAGAAGUCCAAGCUCUCCUUCACUUAUUUACCUUUUGGAGACCAAGCCACCAUGGGUUACUGACAGACCAAAAUAUCCUGACAACUCCCGAAUGCCGGAAGGAGAGAAUGGGUU
RNAcentral lists this long non-coding RNA (151 nucleotides) under Callithrix jacchus (white-tufted-ear marmoset). Its description in RNAcentral is "lncRNA (ENSCJAG00000073154.1)". Lineage: Eukaryota; Metazoa; Chordata; Mammalia; Primates; Cebidae. The record is from RNAcentral.